CCUUCUGGCCCGGUUCUGGUGGCUAUAUUCCUUGCCGGCUUAAAGGCUGCAUCCCCCCGAUGUCCCCAUACACCAUCGAGCCUCCCUGGACUUCCGCUAGAUGGCGCGUCGCCCUCAGCCCUGGCCACCUAUCGUUCAGGUAUUAAAAUACCCCCUGGUCUACAAUGGACUAAUCUUUCUCCGUCAAGGAUUUAAAACUAUUCCUUAAUUUUGAUAUUCGAUUUGAUAUUACUAGCUAGCUAGAACUUCCAUACCUGAAUAUAUAACAGAUACACCCUUUGAA
Drosophila miranda is the source of this 283-nucleotide long non-coding RNA. RefSeq lists it as uncharacterized. The record is from RefSeq and is a predicted model, not a curated record. Lineage: Eukaryota; Metazoa; Arthropoda; Insecta; Diptera; Drosophilidae. The transcript is spliced from 3 exons.